Cygnus olor (mute swan) is the source of this 563-nucleotide long non-coding RNA. RefSeq lists it as uncharacterized. The record is from RefSeq and is a predicted model, not a curated record. NCBI's taxonomy places the organism in Eukaryota, Metazoa, Chordata, Aves, Anseriformes, Anatidae. The transcript has 3 exons.
GCUGAAGGACUUUGAUAAGCAGGAGUUCUGGUUAAGCAUUGUACAUUUUGUAGCGGAAGGAUUUUGCAGUGUUUGAUCAUAUUCAUGUUAAUCUAAAAUUUCUUGUUCAGGGCAGGAGAAUGGAAAACAGAGGUCAAAAAACUCCUUUCUUUACAUGGAAUGUUUUGCAACCUUUUCUGCUUCAACUUCUAAACAGCGUUGAAUGGUGUUUUCCUUCUAGCAUGUUCCUUUGGACAUCGCCACGUACAAGCAUUUUAAUAAGCAGUUCCACUGAGAUCAACUACACCUGUAAGAAAAUGUUUUAUUUGAGUUAAUAGUACAUUUGCUGCAGGGAAGGAGAGAAAAAAUGUGAAAAUGCAAGCAAUUAUUGUAGAACCAAUAAUGCAUCCUCUGUGGCAAAACAUCUAACCGAUCAUGCUUACCAACCUAAUUAGUCUAUUUUUCUUUCCAGGAUGCAGCUGGUAGGUGUAGUUUUUUGGUAUACCUUGAUGAUUUUAUUAAGGAAUGGAGAAUGAUGAUUAAUAUAAAUAUUUAUACACUUGUAUUUUACUUUUUUUUUUUCC